GAUGAACGCUAGCGGCAGGCUUAACACAUGCAAGUCGAACGGUAACAUAGAGAGCUUGCUUUCUGAUGACGAGUGGCGAACGGGUGCGUAACGCGUAUGCAACCUACCUUAAACAGGGGUAUACCCCAGAGAAAUUUGGAUUAAUCCCCCAUAGUAUAAUCAUUUCGCAUGUUAUGAUUAUUAAAACUUCGGUGGUUUAAGAUGGGCAUGCGUGACAUUAGAUAGUUGGUGAGGUAACGGCUCACCAAGUCAACGAUGUCUAGGGGUUCUGAGAGGAUUAUCCCCCACACUGGUACUGAGACACGGACCAGACUCCUACGGGAGGCAGCAGUGAGGAAUAUUGGUCAAUGGACGAAAGUCUGAACCAGCCAUGCCGCGUGAAGG
RNAcentral lists this ribosomal RNA (384 nucleotides) under uncultured bacterium. Its description in RNAcentral is "bacterial SSU rRNA". It matches the Rfam family "Bacterial small subunit ribosomal RNA", at positions 28 to 407 of the family's 1533-position model. The record is from RNAcentral.